UACGGAGGGGGCUAGCGUUAUUCGGAAUUACUGGGCGUAAAGCGCACGUAGGCGGACUGGAAAGUCAGAGGUGAAAGCCCAGGGCUCAACCCUGGAACUGCCUUUGAAACUCCCAGUCUUGAGGUCGAGAGAGGUAAGUGGAAUUCCGAGUGUAGAGGUGAAAUUCGUAGAUAUUCGGAGGAACACCAGUGGCGAAGGCGGCUUACUGGCUCGAUACUGACGCUGAGGUGCGAAAGCGUGGGGAGCAAACAGG
Molecule: ribosomal RNA, 253 nt
Filed under: uncultured bacterium
Lineage: Bacteria
Description: partial 16S ribosomal RNA
Rfam family: Bacterial small subunit ribosomal RNA
Source: RNAcentral